Salvia splendens (bonfire salvia) is the source of this 2241-nucleotide long non-coding RNA. RefSeq lists it as uncharacterized. The record is from RefSeq and is a predicted model, not a curated record. NCBI's taxonomy places the organism in Eukaryota, Viridiplantae, Streptophyta, Magnoliopsida, Lamiales, Lamiaceae. The transcript has 2 exons.
CUCUCUCCUUUCCAAAUCACAUUCCCAAAUCUGCAAAAAUUGGAGAAACCCAAAUCGCAGAGGAAACGGCGGCGCUUACUUCAUCCUCGUCCUCGCGACCUCUCCGGCGAAUCGCCGUCGCCAGCUCCACCGGAAUUCUACCAGUGCCGGCUACCUCUGUGCCCUCUCCCCCUCUGUUUUCUCCAAUUUAAUUUUCCCCCAAAAGGAGAAAUCCCUAAAUCGAAGAAGAGAGCAGCGCCUACUCUCAAUUCUCUUCACCUUUCCCGUCGUGACACGUAUCACCACCGCCGCUCCUUCCCUCGCGACGAAGGGUCCUCGCCGGCGUGCUGGCUCUCGCGCCAACCUCUACUUCGCGCCGCGAGCAGCAGCUCUUCCCGCCGCUUCUCUCGCCGUUCGCCGCUGCCUCCUUCACGAGGCAGCCUUGUCACUAAUCGGUGGCUCAUGCCUAUUCAGCGCUGCCGCCGGCGCUUCGCGCUCGCUCUCCUUACUCCGGCGAAGUCAGCAGUGUCGCCUCCUUCUCCCUUUCUCAGCCGCGGCCUGCAGCUGCCCCGUGGGAGCUUCCGGAGUUCCGCCGUCGCCGGACAAACCUUCGAAGCUAAGUCUCUUCCCCUAACCCCAUUCUUCCGUGGAUUUUGGAGUUCUCGAUUGAUUAUUGAUUCGAAACUUGGGUGUUUUUAAUCACUGGGAUGAGCUUAAUAUUUGUAUUUGGUCAUUGGGAUUUGAUGCAAAAGAUCAACUAAGUAUGAAGCUUAGGCAGUAGCUAAGCGGCAAAAUUCCAUGAAAGUACCUCAUGGGAGCUCUUAUCCGCCAUUUGUACCCGCAAAAAAAAUAUUUCCAAUGAAGGGAAAGACGCGAGCGCCUCUCGCGUGUUUAAAUGAAACACGCGUCUCUCUCUCGCGUGUAUAAACAAACAAACACCAUCACCGUCUCGCGUCUUUUGAGAAACACGCACGAGUCUCAUGCGUGUUUGCCUUUGAUACAGAUCCGGUUGGCACUGCUUCUAUUAAUCAUAGAAUUGAGUAUUUAUCUUUUAUUUUAUGUACCUUAGUUUAUUUCCUAUCUCAGUUUUCUUCAUUGUUAUUUUGUCAAUUGCGCAAUAUGCUCUGUAUGCUGAUAUAUUAGUGAAUGCUUAUGGUAUGCCCGCCUAUCACUCCAUAUCAUUAUAUGUCUUUUAUUGUCAAGGUUAAUCGUCAAAUAAUGCAUGGCAUUUUGAGUUGUAAGAAUUAAGACCCUUAAUUUUCUCAGUGAGAGUGGUUCGCGAGGUGGGAGUAAGACAGAAACAGUGCCGACCGGAUCUGUAUCAAAGGCAAACACGCAUGAGACUCAUGCGUGUUUCUCAAAAGACGCGAGACGGUGAUGCGUGUUUGUUUGUUUAUAUACGCGAGAGAGAGAGACGCGUGUUUCAUUUAAACACGCGAGAGGCGCUCGCGUCUUUCCCUUCAUUGGAAAUAUUUUUUUUACGGGUACAAAUGGCGGAUAAGAGCUCCCAUGAGUGUGUAUUUGGGCAUUACCUUGAUUGGGAUUCCCAAAAAUACAUUCUGCCACGUCAUACGGACUUCCCACUGCACUGCCACAUCAUAAGGACUUCCCAUUGCACAGUGGCGGACAUCCCCAAGGACUUCCCACAAUUAAAAAAAUUUAAUGCAAAUAACAGGAAUUCCGCGCGGACGUCUGUGGGAGUCAACGCAAUGCGGACAUCCGCAUGCCCGUCGCGAUGGAAUUCUGCGGAACUGCGGUGUCCUCGGAAAAAUUCCGUAUCCGUGCAUACCAUGCACAAUGGCGGACGUCCGCCGCGGAAUUCUGUCACGCCGGUCGGAAUUCCGCCGGGACGGACGCCAUUACUGAUGCUCUAAGCUUGCCGUCACUUCGGCUCCUUUCACCACCCCUCCUUGCUCCUUUGCCCCGAGCUUGCCACGCUCCUUGUGAAAAUUUGAUGUUCGAAUAUUGGGGAGGAAAGGUUGGUGGAAGGCAGUUUAUAUAGUGCCCUCUCUUUUGACAGUUUGUGACUGAAAUCUUGGGGACAAAGUCUCCUAUUUUUGGCUGCCAGCUUGCUCCCUUUUGAGCCCCUUUUGAGCUUUGUGAAAUGCUCAUCAUAUGGUGUAUAUUUUGGCAUUCCAAAAUUGUUGUACCGAAUGAUGUAAGUAAGCAACAUAGUGUAGUCUCUUUCACUUUACUCUCCCAAAAGAUAUGUAAAAUUCUUUUCACAAAGUAUUGCACUAAUUUAUUCUCUUUUCCUUUGCA